This 253-nucleotide ribosomal RNA is filed under the name uncultured bacterium. Its description in RNAcentral is "partial 16S ribosomal RNA". It matches the Rfam family "Bacterial small subunit ribosomal RNA", at positions 524 to 776 of the family's 1533-position model. The record is from RNAcentral.
UACGGAGGGGGCUAGCGUUGUUCGGAAUUACUGGGCGUAAAGCGCGCGUAGGCGGACUGUUAAGUCGGGGGUGAAAUCCCGGGGCUCAACCCCGGAACUGCCUUCGAUACUGGCGGUCUAGAGGUCUGGAGAGGUGAGUGGAAUUCCGAGUGUAGAGGUGAAAUUCGUAGAUAUUCGGAGGAACACCAGUGGCGAAGGCGGCUCACUGGCCAGAUUAUGACUAUGAGGUGCGAAAGCGUGGGGAGCAAACAGG